Molecule: long non-coding RNA, 294 nt
Organism: Cyprinodon tularosa
Lineage: Eukaryota; Metazoa; Chordata; Actinopteri; Cyprinodontiformes; Cyprinodontidae
Exons: 3
Source: RefSeq, a predicted model, not a curated record
AUCAUCAUCGUCAUCUUCAGUGACAUAUGAUGACACUAUCAUUCUGAAUUUCACAACUUGUGACCCAUCAGAAGAAGAAGCCACUACUGAAGGAAGUCAACCUAAAAGGCCAUGUCACAUAAAUUAUGAGGCACAAGCAUUGAUUGAAAAAAUCUUGACAACAAAGCCUGGUGGUGAGCGUAUCAUGCAAGAGUAUGCAAGAACUAAAAGCUUGACAGAUGCAACCAGAAGACAGAUGAUAAACAUCCUUACAGCUGCAAUGACAGAAGCACAUGGAUCAUCCCCUCCUAAAAG